This 449-nucleotide ribosomal RNA is filed under the name uncultured bacterium. Its description in RNAcentral is "partial 16S ribosomal RNA". It matches the Rfam family "Bacterial small subunit ribosomal RNA", at positions 330 to 793 of the family's 1533-position model. The record is from RNAcentral.
CCCAGACUCCUACGGGAGGCAGCAGUGGGGGAUAUUGCACAAUGGGGGGAACCCUGAUGCAGCGACGCCGCGUGGGUGAAGGAGCGUUUCGGCGCGUAAAGCCCUAUCGGCAGGGAAGAAGGAGGACGGUACCUGACUAAGAAGCCCCGGCUAACUACGUGCCAGCAGCCGCGGUAAUACGUAGGGGGCAAGCGUUAUCCGGAUUUACUGGGUGUAAAGGGGGCGCAGACGGCAGCGCAAGCCAGGAGUGAAAGCCCGGGGCCCAACCCCGGGACUGCUCUUGGAACUGCGCGGCUGGAGUGCAGGAGGGGCAGGCGGAAUUCCUGGUGUAGCGGUGAAAUGCGUAGAUAUCAGGAGGAACACCGGUGGCGAAGGCGGCCUGCUGGACUGCGACUGACGUUGAGGCCCGAAAGCGUGGGGAGCAAACAGGAUUAGAUACCCCAGUACAG